This is a long non-coding RNA of Oreochromis niloticus (Nile tilapia), 1719 nucleotides long. NCBI's taxonomy places the organism in Eukaryota, Metazoa, Chordata, Actinopteri, Cichliformes, Cichlidae. The record is from Ensembl.
AAUUAUGGAUGAGCAGAGGCUGCUGUCCCCCUCCUGUUCACCCAGUCACCCAGUGGUGAUCCUUGUAUGCGCUGUAGUAUGAGGAAGAGGGGGAGAGCGAACAUUGCUUGAGGAACCAGCCUCUCGUUUUCUCUUUCUCUCACUGCCUCCCUGCAUGAGGGCGCCAACUAGUAUUUGCAGUGAAUCUUCAGUACAACCUGCAAAUGGGGAUGAAAAGCUAUUCAGACUGACAGUCAAAGAAAAGGCAGAGGGAAAAAAAAGCAAAGUGGGCAGCUUUCUGAAAGCUUUGUUGUCGGAAGAUACAAAAAGAGUGACUAUAUAAGAACCAAAGAGAUCAGAAUCAGCACUGUUUGGGAAGCAUGUAUAAUUCGGUAUUCUUCAUCAUCCUGUCAUGGGUGUUUGCUGUGCUUGUGUUCCCAGACCUGCACCUUCUCAUCCAGCAUCUACGAUGCGCCAGACUGCGGCCCUUCACCUCCUCCGCUCUGCUCUUCAGGUCUGAAAACUCUCCGAUUUCACUUUUUAUUUACUCAGAUUAAUUCUGGACUCUCUGCUCAGUUGGCUACGCUGCACAGCCAGCAAUCUGCUUGGUUCUGCAUGCACACUCCCACUCUGAUCCUCUAUUGUGCCAAAAAGUUGAAGUUUGCUAAACAAUGAUAUUUUGGGGUGUUUUAUACAUUUAUUAUAUUUGCUUACAUUUGUUAAAAUAGGUGUAGCUAGGCAAGCCGGCAUGCCUCAAUAAGUUUUUGUAUUAAUUUUUAGAGGGUCAAAACAGCUCUCUUGGUGGUUCUAGUGUUCAAUUCAAUUCAGUUUUAUUUAUAUAGUGCCAAAUCACAACAAAAGUCGCCUCAAGGCGCUUCAUAGGGUACAGAGAAAAACCCAACAAUCAUAUGACCCCCUAUGAGCAAGCACUUUGGCGACAGUGGGAAGGAAAAACUCUGUCCUUUAACAGGAAGAAACCUCCGGCAGAACCAGGCUCAGGGAGGGGCGGCCAUCUGCUGCGACUGGUUGGGGCGAAAGAAGGAAAACAGGAUGAAAGACAUGCUGUGGAAGAGAGACAGAGGUUAAUAACAGAUAUGAUUCGAUGCAGAGAGGUCUAUUAACACAUACUGAGUGAGAAAGGUGACUGGAAAGGAAAAACUCAAUGCAUCAUGGGAAUCCACGGCAGCCUACGUCUAUUGCAGCAUAACUAAGGGAGGAUUCAGGGUCACCUGGUCCAGCCCUAACUAUAUGCUUUAGCAAAAAGGAAAGUUUUAAGCCUAAUCUUGAAAGUAGAGAUAGUGUCUGUCUCCCGAAUCCAAACUGGAAGCUGGUUCCACAGAAGAGGGGCCUGAAAACUGAAGGCUCUCCCUCCCAUUCUACUUUUAAAUACUCUAGGAACAACAAGUAGGCCUGCAGAGCGAGAGCGAAGUGCUGUAAUAGGGUGAUAUGGUACUACAAGGUCAUUAAGAUAAGAUGGGGCCUGAUUAUUUAAGACCUUGUAUGUGAGGAGCAGGAUUUUGAAUUCAAUUCUGGAUUUAACAGGAAGCCAAUGAAGGGAAGCCAAAACAGGAGAAAUAUGCUCUCUCUUUCUAGUCCCUGUCAGUACUCUUGCUGCAGCAUUUUGGAUCAGCUGAAGGCUUUUCAGCGAGUUUUUAGGACAUCCUGAUAAUAAUGAAUUCCAGUAGUCCAGCCUGGAAGUAAUAAAUGCAUGAACUAGUUUUUCAGCGUCACUAAGAGACA